CUCGGUUUCCAUCUGGUCAGCAGUGUCUGCUUGUAAGAGGCGGUCGGGAGCAGGCAGUGGGCAGUCUCUCUGAGAAGGAAGCAGCUGGUCUUCACCCGAGAUUCUGGUUGCGUUCUCUGUUGUUUCCAGCCCCGUGUAUACAAUUCUGCCGUAAGCUCGUGACCUGAGUGACCACGGGGCACAGCCAGGACGUAAGAUAGGCUACAGAUGGAGGACGUACAACUUUACAUGCUGCAGCAGGAGACUGACCUACAGCAGACCACGGGAGC
Molecule: long non-coding RNA, 269 nt
Filed under: Rattus norvegicus (Norway rat)
Lineage: Eukaryota; Metazoa; Chordata; Mammalia; Rodentia; Muridae
Description: long non-coding RNA NONRATT009598
Source: RNAcentral